GAUGAAGAACGUAGCGAAAUGCGAUACGUAGUGUGAAUUGCAGAAUUCCGUGAACCAUCGAAUCUUUGAACGCAAAUUGCGCUCGAGGCCUCGGCUAAGAGCAUGUCUGGCUCAGCGUCGGCUUACUACCCUCAAUCAAUUACCUUGUGAUGAUUGGUUGGAGCUGGCUUUCCGGUGUUCCAAUCAGGUUGCCGGUCAGCUGAAAAACAUUCACGCUGUGGAAGUCGCUUUCCCUUCAAAAAGGAAAGCCGAGUUCCGAUUUGGUAGGUGACCUUUGCCGGUUGCAUGCCUUCGUUGCUCGUUUUGGCUUUCAUGAUAGCGUGUGCAGGACGCUAUUUUGGCUUUCGACCUGAGCUCAGGCAAGAACACCCGCUGAACUUAAGCAUAUCAAUAAGCGGAGGA
RNAcentral lists this unclassified non-coding RNA (402 nucleotides) under soil metagenome. RNAcentral's name for it is "partial contains 5.8S ribosomal RNA, internal transcribed spacer 2, and large subunit ribosomal RNA". The stretch from base 1 to 120 matches the Rfam family "5.8S ribosomal RNA", at positions 35 to 154 of the family's 154-position model. The record is from RNAcentral.